UACUUUAGUCUAGUUGGAGGAACCUGUUUUAUAAACGAUAAACCACGUAAAAUCUUUCUUAUUCUUGUAUAGUUAGUAUACCUUCAUUACAGAUAAUUUUGAUUGAUUGAUUAUUGUAAGCGGUUGAUAAACCAAGUAAAUUAGAUCAAGGUGCUGCAAAUGAAUAAGUAAAAAUGGGUUACAAUGGUUUUUAACGUUAAGCGGAUUAUAUUUAGGAUAAAUAUAUGAAGAUGGAUUCAAUUGUAAUUUUAACUUUAAUAAGGUAAAAUGGUAUUAGCUCUAAAGUGUGUACAUAU
Molecule: ribosomal RNA, 296 nt
Filed under: Panulirus inflatus
Lineage: Eukaryota; Metazoa; Arthropoda; Malacostraca; Decapoda; Palinuridae
Description: partial 12S ribosomal RNA
Source: RNAcentral